RNAcentral lists this ribosomal RNA (253 nucleotides) under uncultured bacterium. RNAcentral describes it as "partial 16S ribosomal RNA". It matches the Rfam family "Bacterial small subunit ribosomal RNA", at positions 524 to 776 of the family's 1533-position model. The record is from RNAcentral.
GACAGAGGGGGCAAGCGUUGCUCGGAAUUACUGGGCGUAAAGGGCGCGUAGGCGGGAUGGCAAGUCGGUCGUGAAAUCCCUCGGCUCAACUGAGGAUCGUCGAUCGAUACUGCCGUUCUUGAGGAUUGCAGAGGAGACUGGAAUUUACGGUGUAGCGGUGAAAUGCGUAGAUAUCGUAAGGAAGACCAGUGGCGAAGGCGGGUCUCUGGACAGUUCCUGACGCUGAGGCACGAAGGCCAGGGGAGCAAACGGG